This 26-nucleotide ribosomal RNA is filed under the name Gigaspora margarita. Its description in RNAcentral is "partial 28S ribosomal RNA". Lineage: Eukaryota; Fungi; Glomeromycota; Glomeromycetes; Diversisporales; Gigasporaceae. The record is from RNAcentral.
UGACCUCAAGUCAUGUGAGAGUACCC